ACAUCCAGAGAACUUGGCAGAGAUGCCUUGGUGCCUUCGGGAACUCUGAGACAGGUGCUGCAUGGCUGUCGUCAGCUCGUGUUGUGAAAUGUUGGGUUAAGUCCCGNAACGAGCGCAACCCCUAUCCUUUGUUGCCAGCGAUUCGGUCGGGAACUCAAAGGAGACUGCCGGUGAUAAACCGGAGGAAGGUGGGGAUGACGUCAAGUCAUCAUGGCCCUUACGAGUAGGGCUACACACGUGCUACAAUGGCGCAUACAAAGAGAAGCGACCUCGCGAGAGCAAGCGGACCUCAUAAAGUGCGUCGUAGUCCGGAUCGGAGUCUGCAACUCGACUCCGUGAAGUCGGAAUCGCUAGUAAUCGUAGAUCAGAAUGCUACGGUGAAUACGUUCCCGGGCCUUGUACACACCGCCCGUCACACCAUGGGAGUGGGUUGCAAAAGAAGUAGAUAGCUUAACCUUCGGGAGGGCGUUUACCACUUUGUGAUUCAUGACUGGGGUGAAGUCGUAACAAGGUAAGCGUAGCGAG
RNAcentral lists this ribosomal RNA (525 nucleotides) under uncultured bacterium. RNAcentral describes it as "bacterial SSU rRNA". It matches the Rfam family "Bacterial small subunit ribosomal RNA", at positions 984 to 1509 of the family's 1533-position model. The record is from RNAcentral.